UCCGUAGGUGGAUAAUUAAGUCAGAGGUGAAAUCCUGCAGCUCAACUGUAGAAUUGCCUUUGAUACUGGUUAUCUUGAGUCAUUAUGAAGUGGUUAGAAUGUGUAGUGUAGCGGUGAAAUGCAUAGAUAUUACACAGAAUACCGAUUGCGAAGGCAGAUCACUAAUAAUGUACUGACACUGAGGGACGAAAGCGUGGGGAGCGAACAGGAUUAGAUACCCUGGAAGUCC
Molecule: ribosomal RNA, 229 nt
Filed under: uncultured bacterium
Lineage: Bacteria
Description: partial 16S ribosomal RNA
Rfam family: Bacterial small subunit ribosomal RNA
Source: RNAcentral